This 952-nucleotide long non-coding RNA is filed under the name Aquilegia coerulea. Its description in RNAcentral is "long non-coding RNA (ACOE_LNC001546)". Lineage: Eukaryota; Viridiplantae; Streptophyta; Magnoliopsida; Ranunculales; Ranunculaceae. The record is from RNAcentral.
UGUUAGCUAGCAAAUUAUCAUGCUCAACUUCGCAGCUUCUUCCUUCCCACUCUUUCUUUCUUUCUUUCUCUCAAAACCUAAGAAAUUACCAUGGAUUUUUCCACCGUUCUCCCUCAAUCAAAGAGAAUUCACCCCCCCCCCCCCCUCUCUCUCUCUCUCUCUCUCUCAAUAGAUACCUUUCAAGAUCUGUUAGCCACCAUGAAAUAAAUCAGCUACCCAUCAUUUGUUGAACUGUUGCUUGUGGAAAUAGAUUAGUAUGAGAAAACCCAUCAAUGGUUUAACUAUAUAUGCUCCAACCAAAUUUCAUAUUCGUGAAAUCUGUCAAGGUAAUUGAGUUAGGAUUUUUGCCAAUUUUGCUUAGGGUUACUCUGCUAUUUGUAAAGAAAUCUAUUUGAAACUACAUAUCUUGCUUAUUUCCAAUUAUGUUUGAGCUAGGUAUGUUUUUUUAUGUCUCCUUUGAGUUGCAAGUAGAUUUCUUCCCAAAGUCAUGUGUUAGAUUUUUUGCCCUGAGCUUUUUUAGUCUAUGUACGGUACUGUAAUUUCUCUGAGAUCUGUCCACCGUUUAACAUCGGAGAGAGUAGUCCAUUGUCCUGCAAUCUGUCAAUGAUUACCUUUCACAAAACUAGAAUGAAUUCAUAUGCUUUCAGGUAAUGCAACUUGAACACAAGCUAUCUAUAUAUUCCUUCAAUAUCAUAGAGAUGCGUAUUUUUUUUUUUUUUUACUCCAAGCUUGCUUUAAUUUCAGAGUGAGGGCUGGGAUGAUAUGGGCAGUUGAAGAGAGAACAAUGGAAUUAUAAAAGAAAUCCGAGAAGUGGUUAUGGUGUAUAGUGUAUGGGGAUUGGUUAUGGAUUAAGAGUCUUUGAUAAUCUUCAUUUUGACUAUUAAAUGUUUAUAUUUGUUGUAUAUGAACACUCUUUUUAUCAAUAAUGCCAUAUAUUUAGAUUUUUGCAGUC